CCCCACCCUGCCUUCCUGGAGACUCCUGCUCUUCCUCUGACAGGUACCCAGAUUGAGGCUGGGCUGGGUGGCCUGCAGGUGGCAGGGGAUGGAGUGGAGAGAGUCUGCAGCUCAGGCUC
This is a microRNA precursor of Equus caballus (horse), 119 nucleotides long. Lineage: Eukaryota; Metazoa; Chordata; Mammalia; Perissodactyla; Equidae. The record is from Ensembl.